RNAcentral lists this ribosomal RNA (482 nucleotides) under uncultured bacterium. Its description in RNAcentral is "bacterial SSU rRNA". It matches the Rfam family "Bacterial small subunit ribosomal RNA", at positions 29 to 507 of the family's 1533-position model. The record is from RNAcentral.
AUUGAACGCUGGCGGAAUGCUUUACACAUGCAAGUCGAGCGGCAGCGCGGGGCAACCUGGCGGCGAGCGGCGAACGGGUGAGUAAUACAUCGGAACGUGCCCAGACGUGGGGGAUAACUACUCGAAAGAGUGGCUAAUACCGCAUAUUCUGUGAGCAGGAAGGCAGGGGAUCUUCGGACCUUGCGUUUCAGGAGCGGCCGAUGUCGGAUUAGCUAGUUGGUGGGGUAAAGGCCUACCAAGGCGACGAUCCGUAGCGGGUCUGAGAGGAUGAUCCGCCACACUGGAACUGAGACACGGUCCAGACUCCUACGGGAGGCAGCAGUGGGGAAUUUUGGACAAUGGGCGCAAGCCUGAUCCAGCCAUGCCGCGUGAGUGAAGAAGGCCUUCGGGUUGUAAAGCUCUUUCGGCCGGAAAGAAAUCGCAUGGGCGAAUACCCUGUGUGGAUGACGGUACCGGCAUAAGAAGCACCGGCUAACUACGUG